GCUCAGGGUAGCUCAGUCAGUGUGGCAUGAGAGUCUUAAUAUCAGGCUUGUGGGUUCGAGCCCCAUGUUGAGCA
Molecule: non-coding RNA, 74 nt
Organism: Podarcis lilfordi (Lilford's wall lizard)
Lineage: Eukaryota; Metazoa; Chordata; Lepidosauria; Squamata; Lacertidae
Source: the annotation of a GenBank genome assembly